AAUCAACGCUGGCGGCGUGCCUCAGACAUGCAGGUCGAACGAUUAAAGCUCUCUUCGGAGAGUGCAUAGAGUGGCGCACGGGUGAGUAACACGUAAGUAAUCUACCCUCGAGUGGGGAAUAACGUCCGGAAACGGGCGCUAAUACCGCAUAAUGCAGCGGCAUCACAAGAUGACAGUUGUUAAAGAUUUAUCGCUUGAGGAGGAGCUUGCGGCAGAUUAGCUAGUUGGUAAGGUAACGGCUUACCAAGGCUACGAUCUGUAACCGGUCUUAGAGGACGGUCGGUCACACUGACACUGAAUAACGGGUCAGACUCCUACGGGAGGCAGCAGUCGGGAAUUUUGGGCAAUGGGCGAAAGCCUGACCCAGCAACGCCGCGUGAAGGAUGAAGUAUUUCGGUAUGUAAACUUCGAAAGAAUAGGAAGAAUUAAUGACGGUACUAUUUAUAAGGUCCGGCUAACUACGUGCCAGCAGCCGCAGUAA
RNAcentral lists this ribosomal RNA (481 nucleotides) under uncultured bacterium. Its description in RNAcentral is "partial 16S ribosomal RNA". It matches the Rfam family "Bacterial small subunit ribosomal RNA", at positions 32 to 523 of the family's 1533-position model. The record is from RNAcentral.